AUGGCGGUGUGCGACCCGCUGCACCGGCAGUACGAACUGCUUCCCCCAAUCCCUGACGACCUAAGAGCUUCGGUGGAGGACCCAAUCCGGCACAAUUUCUGCGAGACUUUCCUCGCUCCCGAUGGCGAUGAGGAAACGUCAUUCAGAGUGAUUUGGAUGGUGGAGUGUAGAGCUAAGCUCAUUGCCUUUGUCUUCUCUUCCAGUACUAGACAAUGGCGAGCCAUAUCCCAGAGUUGGACCAAUUUGUUAGAUGGUUUGCUAUCAUCCACAUGGAUUCCACUCUUCCUCCACCGGCAGUAUGCGUGUGGCUGCUUUUACUGGCUGCCAAACUGGCAGUGGCAGCACAAAUCGAAAAUGUUGGUGCUCGACACCUGGAUGAUGGAGUUCUCCAUUGUUGAACCCCCAUCCGAAGCCAAAAAUUCAUCCAGCACUGGUAUACCUAUGUUUGAAUCAGGAGAAGGCAGGCCUAGAAUGCUUGUUAGGGGGCCUGACAUAUCUAGCCGCAGUUAUACCAUUUGUAGGAAAAAUGGUGGGAGCUCCAGCCAGUGGCAGAAGGAGAAGAUAAUCUCACUCCCGCUGAUCUCUUGGGACAUGCUCAGAUGUGCAAAGGGGACGUACUUCCUCCUGGAUCAUCGCGGAAGCUCAUCGUUCGAGCAAGGCAGAUUCGCAGUGGACAUCGAAACUUUACAGCUCAAGAGAGUGUGUGCUUCGACGGUGCAUGGCCACACAUAUAGCAACUACCCACCGUCGUUCUCAUCACCGAAAGUAUCAAGUGAUAUUGAGGAGGUGCUGGAACAAGGCGUUGAGGCCCUCCAAGCUGAAGGGCCCGUGGAUGGCCAUCAAGAUGAGAGUACUGCUGGUAAGGCGGAUGUUGGAUGUCAAGCUGAUGAGUUGAGGGUUGGAGAUGGUGCCUAUUAA
Molecule: ribosomal RNA, 918 nt
Filed under: Triticum aestivum (bread wheat)
Lineage: Eukaryota; Viridiplantae; Streptophyta; Magnoliopsida; Poales; Poaceae
Description: partial small subunit ribosomal RNA
Source: RNAcentral